Long non-coding RNA from Hippocampus comes (tiger tail seahorse), 452 nucleotides. RefSeq lists it as uncharacterized. Lineage: Eukaryota; Metazoa; Chordata; Actinopteri; Syngnathiformes; Syngnathidae. The transcript is spliced from 3 exons. The record is from RefSeq and is a predicted model, not a curated record.
AAAAAUGUUUGAUCUAGCAGACUAUGAUUAUGGUUAGGGUUGGACAUGGAUAAUUGAGAACCGAGGGGACCUGGAGUAAUAUUGUGGUUGUCUUGGAUUCAUUAAAAUUUGUUAAUGUCUGUGCUAAAUUUUGAUGCUGAGCUGCACGAAAGCACCAUCAUUAGGAAAUGUGUGUAUGUGAUGCACAGCUCCAUCUCCGCCCCCGGAGCCACAUUGUGGGCGCUUGGCAGCUCGGCAGGGGUCUGAUAGGCGGCGUUCCAUGUCUGUGAGGCCGUUCACGCCGCCCGCUCCCCACCAAAUUCGCUUAACACGAACAGAGAACGACCAAUAUUGUGCAUGCUACAUUUAACAGCACACAUGUCGAAUGACUAAGCACGAAAUGGUGCAAGGAUCAAGUUUGCGAGUUGCGGACACUACUCAGCAGAGAUCAAAAGAGAAUCAAAAUUGCAAAC